This is a long non-coding RNA of Herpailurus yagouaroundi (jaguarundi), 1053 nucleotides long. RefSeq lists it as uncharacterized. The record is from RefSeq and is a predicted model, not a curated record. The transcript is spliced from 2 exons. Lineage: Eukaryota; Metazoa; Chordata; Mammalia; Carnivora; Felidae.
CACACACACAAGGCCCUAUAGGAGGAUAGAUGCAAUGAAAAAGAAAUUGUAAAGCCCUUUUAAAAAGCAUUUCACCAAUGUGAUUUCGGUGUUCACCACAAGCCCAUGAGAAAGAUGUUAUGGCCCCAUUAUAUCGGUGAGGAAACUGAGACUUGCAUUUGUUAAGGACCUCCUCAGGUUUAUACGGCUAGAACGGCUAGAACGUGAGAAGCCCAGAAGUGGAAUUCAGGUCUCCUUAUCCCAGGACACUUUCCCUGUAUCCCCCUGCUCCCACCUAAAAUUAAUACCAACAAGUAACAAGCAUGGGCUGCUUCAGAAAGAAGACCAGCAAACCUGUUUGCUCCUGAUAUUCAGUUCCACUGCCCUCUCUCCUCCCCUUCGGAUAGAUGGUCCCCAGAUAGCUCUAGUUCUUACAGACCGCCCUCUCUCCUGACUACCUCUCCUUACAUCUAUGCCACUCAACUGAGUGCUUACUUAACGUUUUGUUUCUCCUGUAUAUAUGUUUGGUUGCCCCAAAAGAUUGAGGGCCCAGACCAUGCUUUCUAUGCCUCUACAUUCCCCACAGCACUCAAAUGCUGGGCUCAUAGCAGGGCUUUCGUAAACACUUAUUUGGUGGGUUGAUAGUGCCAGCAGCUGGGGCCUGGGCAAGGUCUGAGGAGGCACAGGUGGAGAUGAGGGAGAAACCCUCAAAAACAGAUAACCCCUGUGUGAGCCUCACAUCGGUUUACAAAUCAUUUUCAUGCACAUUAUCUCUAGAUCAUGUUUUGAUCCAAUCAACAAAACUUCCCCAAGUGCCUACUAACUGCUGUGCCAAACACCAAGCUGGGUCAGGAGUUGAAUCAUCACAACCUCAUGAGGGUCCUGUGGAUAUACGUGAGCCACCAAGGCAAAAGGGCCAUUUCUCAAACAGCGUGCUGGUUAGAAGGAAGGGCCCACCCCAUUUGUGUGGAUCAGUCUCCCCUUACAUACAUGACAAACCACAUGGGCUUGUUAUGAUCCGUUUGGCACAAUGCCCGGUUCACAGGAGGUCCAGAAAACUGUUCUCAGGAGUGA